This 68-nucleotide transfer RNA is filed under the name Gloeosoma sp. GLO01. Its description in RNAcentral is "tRNA-Asp". The record is from RNAcentral. Lineage: Eukaryota; Metazoa; Arthropoda; Insecta; Coleoptera; Corylophidae.
AAAAAUUUAGUUAAUCAAUAACAUUAGUUUGUCAAACUAAAAUUAUAAAAUAAAAUUUAUAAUUUUUU